GGCGCAAGCCUGAUGCAGCGACGCCGCGUGAGGGAUGACGGCCUUCGGGUUGUAAACCUCUGUUAGCAUCGAAGAAGCGAAAGUGACGGUAGGUGCAGAGAAAGCGCCGGCUAACUACGUGCCAGCAGCCGCGGUAAUACGUAGGGCGCGAGCGUUGUCCGGAAUUAUUGGGCGUAAAGAGCUUGUAGGCGGUUGGUCGCGUCUGCUGUGAAAGGCUGGGGCUUAACCCUGGUUUUGUAGUGGGUACGGGCUAACUAGAGUGCAGUAGGGGAGACUGGAAUUCCUGGUGUAGCGGUGGAAUGCGCAGAUAUCAGGAGGAACACCGAUGGCGAAGGCAGGUCUCUGGGCUGUAACUGACGCUGAGAAGCGAAAGCAUGGGGAGCGAACAGGAUUAGAUACCCUGGUAGUCCAUGCCGUAAACGUUGGGCACUAGGUGUGGGGGACAUUCCACGUUUUCCGCGCCGUAGCUAACGCAUUAAGUGCCCGCCUGGGGGUACGGCCGCAAGGCUAAAACUCAAAGAAAUUGACGGGGGCCCGCACAAGCGGCGGAGCAUGCGGAUUAAUUCGAUGCAACGCGAAGAACCU
RNAcentral lists this ribosomal RNA (585 nucleotides) under Rothia dentocariosa. RNAcentral describes it as "bacterial SSU rRNA". It matches the Rfam family "Bacterial small subunit ribosomal RNA", at positions 374 to 971 of the family's 1533-position model. The record is from RNAcentral. Lineage: Bacteria; Bacillati; Actinomycetota; Actinomycetes; Micrococcales; Micrococcaceae.